AUUGAACGCUGGCGGCAGGCCUAACACAUGCAAGUCGAGCGGAUGAAGGGAGCUUGCUCCUGGAUUCAGCGGCGGACGGGUGAGUAAUGCCUAGGAAUCUGCCUGGUAGUGGGGGAUAACGUCCGGAAACGGGCGCUAAUACCGCAUACGUCCUGAGGGAGAAAGUGGGGGAUCUUCGGACCUCACGCUAUCAGAUGAGCCUAGGUCGGAUUAGCUAGUUGGUGGGGUAAAGGCCUACCAAGGCGACGAUCCGUAACUGGUCUGAGAGGAUGAUCAGUCACACUGGAACUAAGACACGGUCCAGACUCCUACGGGAGGCAGCAGUGGGGAAUAUUGGACAAUGGGCGAAAGCCUGAUCCAGCCAUGCCGCGUGUGUGAAGAAGGUCUUCGGAUUGUAAAGCACUUUAAGUUGGGAGGAAGGGCAGUAAGUUAAUACCUUGCUGUUUUGACGUUAUCAACAGAAUAAGCACCGGCUAACUUCGUG
This 484-nucleotide ribosomal RNA is filed under the name uncultured bacterium. RNAcentral describes it as "partial 16S ribosomal RNA". It matches the Rfam family "Bacterial small subunit ribosomal RNA", at positions 30 to 507 of the family's 1533-position model. The record is from RNAcentral.